UUAGGUACAAUUCUUCAUGCCUACCACUUAUGUUGAUCUGGCCACAAAGUGUGUGUCCUUGAAGAGAACUUAUCAAAUGGUACUAAUUGAGUAUCACAAGAAGGUAAGUUCACAGCUAUGGAAGGAGAAUUUGGUCUGAACAUGUAUUUUAGCAGUGUUACUGCUUAACUUUACAGAAAUGUAGCAUGAGCAGCUGAGGGUGUGGUUCCACUGCCAGUGUCCAGGUGCUGCAGUCACCACUGGGACUCACCUGCAGCUGGUGAGCACAGUCCUCAGGAGCAUGCAAACAGCUGUUUCAAAUCUGCACAGCUGUAUUAACUAGGUUUUGCCUCAUGGGGACUGAAGUUAUAUUUCAGAUACCAUUUUUAUGGGAAUUUCUGUUAUUUCAGAAUAAUAAAAAAUAUUAAAAUAUCUACUGUAGUAUUUGCUUUGUUUCAUGAAAAGUUGUAUGCAAGAAUUUAUAAUUAGGAAGUGGUCUGCUACCAGUAUGGUCAAAUAAUGUAUUGAGCUAAAGGGUAGCUUGUAGACUUCUUUGUUUUUCCUUUUCUUCAUGUUUUUUUUCCCCUAUUAAAUUUUCUUUCUUUUUUUCCAUUUUGUGCUCCUUUUAACUUGAGCAUUUUUCAGAAUCAAAUAACUGCAUACAGCUGGUGACUGUUACUGAAGGUGCUUGGGAAGUUUCUGUAUGUUCUAGAAUGUACAUGUGUAGCCAUGCUCUUGGCUGACUAAAAUUAGGAGUGUUAUGGCUUGCACUAGCAAUGUUUUGAACAAAGUGGGCACUGAGAUGUUUAUUUAGUGUGAUAGCUGGUGAGCUGGGCAUCCAGGUGGACAUUCAGUUUGGGUUUUAGCUCAUGUGUUCUGGAAAGCUUCUGCUGUUCUGGUGUAGUUACACAGGUGGACUUCUCUGUGGAGGUGCAGCAGUGUCUUGGGAAAAGAUUUUCUGACAACAGAUGUGAGAGUAUAGACUGGUGCUAAACAUAACUAGCUAAGCUGACAACAGCACUCCUCUGCUGCAUUCAGACCGUGAGGAUUUGCAGAUAAAGUUGCAUAAGCUGGGGAGUGCUUUUUCAUGCUGAUCCUUACACUGCUGUGUCAGCAACAUGCUGCAACUGUAAGGUGUGGCUUAAACUCACUCUACAAGCUGACAAGGUCAUGUGUCUCUACAUGCAUUUUUUCUGUUUGCUUUAGUCAAUAAGGAAAAAAAUAAAGUGAAUUCUAAUGAGACACUUCCAUGUUGAAACUUUAUUGUAUGCACAUUUUCAGUGCUCUAACAAGCUAGUGGAAGUUCUCUAAAGAGAUGGUUGCUGUUAGCUCUUUUGUCUGGCCCAUGGGCUUGCCUUUCUACCAAGUCAUUGUCUCCAUGUACUUAAAUGUGAGUAUCAGGGAAGAAAGUGUUCUUGGAAGUAAAAUUGAGCAAAUGGAGUGAAGUUACCAAACAAAAUCAGAAUUCAGGUAGAAUCAGAGAGAGGAAGACAACAGUUAUUCUUGGGUAGUAAACAAUCCCAGAGUGUACAGUACUUGGUACUUGGACAAAAGGAUAUGAAGCAAGAUAAGAUAAAAGGCAUAAGCAAUCUUGUAGAACCAAGGAAGAAAGAAAGUAGGGAUGUUAAAGAAGAAGGAUAAGCAAUAGCUACAUUCCAAGAGGUUAGACAUGGUCCAGCAAAUCACUAGUCACAAGACUUCUGUCAGGGCGGUGCGAUUUUUCUCCAGGAAAAGAGAAGGAAUCAGCAUGAGAAAGUAAUGGCCAGAAAGAGUUAUCAUUGAAGAGAAGCCAUUACUGAAGCAUUUUGUAACUUUUUCUCUGUAAAUGGCCUUUCCUAUUACACAUGAAUUGAAAAAGAUUUUGGAAAUAAUAGCAAAUUUGCAAAAAUACAUUUACAUUACUAAUGCAAAUGUAUGGAAUCAUGCACACUCACACUCUAUUCAAUAUUAGUGAAAGAACGCUGUGAAACAGAGAAAGAAAGAAAGAAACAAACAAACAAAUAAGUAAGUGCUGGUUUGGGGUAAAUGUCUUUGUCUUGUUUCUCCAUCUAGAAGAGUGAUUGAUGUGGGUAGUUUUCAAAAGUUGUCAUUCACUAAACUAUUAGUGGCAAUGCUCUUGUUGACGUUUCAUGCAUUUUAGGUGAUGGUUUUUUGCUUUAUUUUCGUCUAUGUCCAAACAUCAACUGGCACAGCCUGCUGGAUGUCGCCUGGUGCUGCACUCUGUGUCCAAGGACUGCUGCUCACCAGCAGAAAUGCUCUUUCCUCAAGUCUCAUGCAAUGUGCAGUUACAGCUUAAAUGAGAAAGAGGAACACUUUUUAAGUGGAAGUGCUGGGUGGAAGACAGAGAAGUUUGGAAAAACAACAGAUCUUAUUACUUUUGAGAAGUGGGUAGGAACUGGAGACAGUUUUCAGAAAUGAACUGGAUUUUAAAGCACAAUGGAAGAACCCAACUGUCUGAGAGAGCUGCCCAUGGGUGUUGUAAAGGUCAGCCAAAUUCCAAGCAACCGUUUCCCCCACAAUGAGCAGUAGUAAAUGAGAUUGCAUCUUAGGGACUGCAAUGCCUAUGUUAUUUUGUGUAUUUGUGCUAUGCACUGCCCUCAAAUAAUGAAGAACAUUUACUCCUGAGCUAUUCCAUACUACAAAAAUCUCAUGCAGGAUUUGAUCAUUCACUAAUAGCUUGCUCUAAACAAGAUGAUUAGUUUAUAGGCUGAUUUUCUGCUUCUGCUAUCAAUUUUCAAAUAUUGGUAUCUCCAAG
Parus major (Great Tit) is the source of this 2734-nucleotide long non-coding RNA. RefSeq lists it as uncharacterized. The record is from RefSeq and is a predicted model, not a curated record. NCBI's taxonomy places the organism in Eukaryota, Metazoa, Chordata, Aves, Passeriformes, Paridae. The transcript is spliced from 3 exons.